Molecule: long non-coding RNA, 327 nt
Filed under: Lathyrus oleraceus (garden pea)
Lineage: Eukaryota; Viridiplantae; Streptophyta; Magnoliopsida; Fabales; Fabaceae
Description: Pisum sativum (pea) long non-coding RNA (PSAT_LNC031552)
Source: RNAcentral
AAAUAUUUCACUCACUUGAACAAUUCUAUAGAAAUUGUUUUCUCUUCACCUUCCUCUUUUUAUUCUUUUUUUUUUGAAGGAGCAUGUAUUGACAUGUAUUGAAAUAUUACAAACAUAAUUGCUUUUUUUUCUUCCGCUCAUCCUUCUAUUUUUUCUUCCUCUUUUUUUUUUCUUUUCAAUUUUCUUUUUUUUUUGUUUUUUGUGUUUUUUUUUCUUUUUUUGCCAGCUUCUGAAAUAUUACAAACAUAACUAUUCAACCCCACACAACUCCAAACAAGACUCUUUCAACCCUUUGAAUAAGGUGAUAACAUUGUUUUUCACUUCUCG